This 430-nucleotide ribosomal RNA is filed under the name Pseudomonadota bacterium. RNAcentral describes it as "Proteobacteria bacterium partial 16S ribosomal RNA". It matches the Rfam family "Bacterial small subunit ribosomal RNA", at positions 355 to 776 of the family's 1533-position model. Lineage: Bacteria; Pseudomonadati; Pseudomonadota. The record is from RNAcentral.
UGGGGAAUAUUGGACAAUGGGGGGAACCCUGAUCCAGCCAUGCCGCGUGUGUGAAGAAGGCCUUAUGGUUGUAAAGCACUUUAAGCGAGGAGGAGGGUACUGGUAUUAAUACUACCAGCUACUGGACGUUACUCGCAGAAUAAGCACCGGCUAACUCUGUGCCAGCAGCCGCGGUAAUACAGAGGGUGCGAGCGUUAAUCGGAUUUACUGGGCGUAAAGCGUGCGUAGGCGGCUAAUUGAGUCGGAUGUGAAAUCCCCGAGCUUAACUUGGGAAUUGCAUUCGAUACUGGUUAGCUAGAGUGUGGGAGAGGAUGGUAGAAUUCCAGGUGUAGCGGUGAAAUGCGUAGUGAUCUGGAGGAAUACCGAUGGCGAAGGCAGCUAUCUGGCCUAACACUGACGCUGAGGUACGAAAGCAUGGGGAGCAAACAGG